AUUUAAAAUUUUUAUUCAUUUGUAUUAUUAAAAAUUAAUGUGGCUGAUGGAAUAAUCAAAUAAUAACAUGUGACGUGUCAUAUGUACCUCAUAUUGAUGUACAAGUACCAAUUUUUAACAAUAGAAAUGGAUAAAAUAUUUAACA
Molecule: microRNA precursor, 145 nt
Filed under: Gossypium arboreum
Lineage: Eukaryota; Viridiplantae; Streptophyta; Magnoliopsida; Malvales; Malvaceae
Description: MIR7502 microRNA precursor family
Rfam family: MIR7502 microRNA precursor family
Source: Rfam by way of RNAcentral